GUGGGGAAUAUUGGACAAUGGGCGCAAGCCUGAUCCAGCCAUACCGCGUGGGUGAAGAAGGCCUUCGGGUUGUAAAGCCCUUUUGUUGGGAAAGAAAUCCUGUCGAUUAAUACUCGGUGGGGAUGACGGUACCCAAAGAAUAAGCACCGGCUAACUUCGUGCCAGCAGCCGCGGUAAUACGAAGGGUGCAAGCGUUACUCGGAAUUACUGGGCGUAAAGCGUGCGUAGGUGGUGGUUUAAGUCUGCUGUGAAAGCCCUGGGCUCAACCUGGGAAGUGCAGUGGAUACUGGAUCACUAGAGUGUGGUAGAGGGAUGCGGAAUUUCUGGUGUAGCAGUGAAAUGCGUAGAGAUCAGAAGGAACAACCGUGGCGAAGGCGGCAUCCUGGGCCAACACUGACACUGAGGCACGAAAGCGUGGGGAGCAAACAGGAUUAGAAACCCCGGUAGUCC
Molecule: ribosomal RNA, 450 nt
Filed under: uncultured bacterium
Lineage: Bacteria
Description: partial 16S ribosomal RNA
Rfam family: Bacterial small subunit ribosomal RNA
Source: RNAcentral